Molecule: ribosomal RNA, 497 nt
Filed under: uncultured bacterium
Lineage: Bacteria
Description: partial 16S ribosomal RNA
Rfam family: Bacterial small subunit ribosomal RNA
Source: RNAcentral
GAUGAACGCUGGCGGCGUGCCUAAUACAUGCAAGUCGAGCGAACGGACGAGAAGCUUGCUUCUCUGAUGUUAGCGGCGGACGGGUGAGUAACACGUGGAUAACCUACCUAUAAGACUGGGAUAACUUCGGGAAACCGGAGCUAAUACCGGAUAAUAUUUUGAACCGCAUGGUUCAAAAGUGAAAGACGGUCUUGCUGUCACUUAUAGAUGGAUCCGCGCUGCAUUAGCUAGUUGGUAAGGUAACGGCUUACCAAGGCAACGAUGCAUAGCCGACCUGAGAGGGUGAGCAGCCACACUGGAACUGAGACACGGUCCAGACUCCUACGGGAGGCAGCAGUAGGGAAUCUUCCGCAAAGGGCGAAAGCCUGACGGAGCAACGCCGCGUGAGUGAUGAAGGUCUUCGGAUCGUAAAACUCUGUUAUUAGGGAAGAACAUAUGUGUAAGUAACUGUGCACAUCUUGACGGUACCUAAUCAGAAAGCCACGGCUAACUACGUG